CGGCCGCCGAUUCAAUCCCGCCGCGGUGCUCUUAACUGAGUGUCGAGGUGGGCCGGCAAAUUUACUUUGAACAAAUUAGAGUGCUUAAAGCAGGCUGAUUUCCGCCUGAAUACUGUGUGCAUGGAAUAAUGGAAUAGGACUUCGGUUCUAUUUUAUUGGUUUUAAGAAACCGAAGUAAUGAUUAAUAGGGACAGGCGGGGGCAUUCGUAUUGCGACGUUAGAGGUGAAAUUCUUGGAUCGUCGCAAGACGUACCUAAGCGAAAGCAUUUGCCAAGUAUGUCCUCGUUAAUCAAGAACGAAAGUUAGAGGUUCGAAGGCGAUCAGAUACCGCCCUAGUUCUAACCAUAAACGAUGCCAGCCAGCGAUCCGCCAAUGUUCCUCCGAUGACUUGGCGGGCAGCUUCCGGGAAACCAAAGCUUUUGGGUUCCGGGGGAAGUAUGGUUGCAAAGCUGAAACUUAAAGGAAUUGACGGAAGGGCACCACCAGGAGUGGAGCCUGCGGCUUAAUUUGACUCAACACGGGAAACCUCACCAGGCCAGGACACUGGAAGGAUUGACAGAUUGAUAGCUCUUUCUUGAUUCAGUG
RNAcentral lists this ribosomal RNA (585 nucleotides) under Allodrilus intermedius. RNAcentral describes it as "SSU rRNA". It matches the Rfam family "Eukaryotic small subunit ribosomal RNA", at positions 691 to 1272 of the family's 1831-position model. Lineage: Eukaryota; Metazoa; Arthropoda; Insecta; Hemiptera; Membracidae. The record is from RNAcentral.